RNAcentral lists this ribosomal RNA (230 nucleotides) under uncultured bacterium. Its description in RNAcentral is "partial 16S ribosomal RNA". It matches the Rfam family "Bacterial small subunit ribosomal RNA", at positions 568 to 797 of the family's 1533-position model. The record is from RNAcentral.
UGCGUAGGCGGACUAAUAAGUCAGUGGUGAAAUCUCUCGGCUCAACCGGGAAACUGCCAUUGAUACUGUUAGUCUUGAGUUCGGUUGAGGUAGGCGGAAUGUGUAAUGUAGCGGUGAAAUGCUUAGAUAUUACACAGAACACCAAUUGCGUAGGCAGCUUACUAGACCGACACUGACGCUGAGGCACGAAAGCGUGGGUAGCGAACAGGAUUAGAUACCCUGGUAGUCCA